GGCCUAACACAUGCAAGUCGAGUGCGCAGCUUCCUGUAGCAAUACAGGGAGUGGGCGCACGGCGCACGGGUGCGUAACACGUGGGCAAUCUGCCCUCGGAUGGGGGAUAACUCGUCGAAAGGCGAGCUAAUACCGCAUGACAUUCCCAAGACUCCGGUCUAGGGACUCAAAGGCCGCAAGGCCGUCUGAGGAGGAGCCCGCGCCCGAUUAGCUAGUUGGUGAGGUAACGGCUCACCAAGGCUUUGAUCGGUAGCCGGUCUGAGAGGAUGGCCGGCCACACUGGAACUGAGACACGGUCCAGACUCCUACGGGAGGCAGCAGUGGGGAAUAUUGCGCAAUGGGCGAAAGCCUGACGCAGCGACGCCGCGUGGGGGAUGAAGCUUCUCGGAGUGUAAACCCCUUUCGACCCGGACGAAUGACCCGCAAGGGUUUGACGGUACGGGUAUAAGA
Molecule: ribosomal RNA, 450 nt
Filed under: uncultured Acidobacteriota bacterium
Lineage: Bacteria; Pseudomonadati; Acidobacteriota
Description: bacterial SSU rRNA
Rfam family: Bacterial small subunit ribosomal RNA
Source: RNAcentral